CCUCCUUACUAUUACGUCGAUGACGCACUUGAUGCAGUGCCUACACAGAUUGUUUUGUUUAUUUAUAAAGACUCGCUUCGCGAGUGUCGCGAAUAGCUGCUUAAACGGAAGAAAACUUCCUGACAGCCAUUCUGCUCGCUAAAGUGGUAGUUGUUUUUAAAUAGAAUGCUAAUCAAUAAUCUUAUUAUUGAUUAGUGUUUUUUUAUAAUGCACUAAUGUUCUUUAACAAUUUGGAAAGCUGAUAUUAAUAGUAAUCAAUCAAAAGAGUAAUUGAGAAGUCGAAAGACGCACUUUUUACUCUACUUGACUUGAAUUGCUUGUUAUCGACAACGCCGCAAGGCGGGUUAAUCGACUUGUUCGGUUAACAAAGAAGAUAGCAAGGCAAUUCUUCCGAUUAGCUUGUCAUGCAUACAACAUUACCCGUGUCCGACGUCAAAAGGCCGGACAUGAGGCCGAUACUCAAGGCUUUUUUAGGGUUGUUAUGGGUUAAGUGGACGAAACCGUAUACGGUGGAUGCCUUUGGCAAAAGGGCGAAUUCCCAGCACACUGGGCGGCCGUUUCCUAGGGGGAUCCCGAACUCGGGUACCAAGCCUUGGCG
RNAcentral lists this unclassified non-coding RNA (598 nucleotides) under uncultured Alteromonadaceae bacterium. RNAcentral's name for it is "partial 16S-23S ribosomal RNA intergenic spacer". The record is from RNAcentral. Lineage: Bacteria; Pseudomonadati; Pseudomonadota; Gammaproteobacteria; Alteromonadales; Alteromonadaceae.